This is a long non-coding RNA of Gadus morhua (Atlantic cod), 377 nucleotides long. RefSeq lists it as uncharacterized. Lineage: Eukaryota; Metazoa; Chordata; Actinopteri; Gadiformes; Gadidae. The record is from RefSeq and is a predicted model, not a curated record. The transcript has 4 exons.
AGUGACCAGUCUAUGGAUCAUCCUGUUACCUUUAAAGAUGGAAAUCAGUCUAUUGAGAAGAGAAGAGUCCAGCAGGAGAGAGCAGACUCCCCUGGACCCAGCUGUGUCUCCAUGAAGAGUGGCUGGUCUAUGGAUAUACCAUUGGUGUUUAAAGAUGGACGCCCCCCCAGAGAGGAGAGCCCAGAGCAGCAGCAGAGAGCAGACUCCCCUGGACCCAGCUGUGUCUCCAUGAUGAGUGGAUGGAACAUCCUCUAUGGAACAUCCUUUUAACUUUAAAGAUGGAAAUCAGUCUAUUGAGAAAAGAAGAGUCCAGCAGCAGAGAGCAGACUCCCCUGGACCCAGCUGUGUCUCCAUGAAGAGUGACCACUCUAUGAAUC